UGUCCGCAUCCGUAUUUCCACACCGCGGCCCCCGCAAAAUAAGAUGGAACAUGGCCUAUUCUUGUCUGCAAUUGUGGACAAGAAUAGGCAUUUCUAUCAUAGGGAACUAUCAAAAUGCGAAACGCACGCAGCUGGUAUCCAUGUUUUGCGGACAUUUUGUGGACCGCAA
Long non-coding RNA from Bufo bufo (common toad), 169 nucleotides. RefSeq lists it as uncharacterized. Lineage: Eukaryota; Metazoa; Chordata; Amphibia; Anura; Bufonidae. The transcript has 3 exons. The record is from RefSeq and is a predicted model, not a curated record.